This is a long non-coding RNA of Oncorhynchus tshawytscha (Chinook salmon), 860 nucleotides long. Lineage: Eukaryota; Metazoa; Chordata; Actinopteri; Salmoniformes; Salmonidae. The record is from Ensembl.
CUGAAGUACAGAAUCAUUGUGAUAGCUACGAGUGUUCCAGGUUGACUGAACAGUUCAGUCUGCUACAUCCUUCUCAAACAGUUCAUGGUUAUGAUAUUUCAGUUCAGUGUGGAACAGUCUUGUAUUAGCUGAAGUACAGAAUCAUUGUGAUAGCUACGAGUGUUCCAGGUUGACUGAGCAGUUCAGUCUGCUACAUCCUUCUCAAACAGUUCAUGUAUAUGAGGUUUCAUUAUAUAAUAUAAGAUAUUAAAACCAAAUAUUGAGUUUUACCUUCAGUCAUGGUUCUGUCCCUCUUUGCCAAUUUUUUGUCAAAUGUCACCAGCUCUUUCAGGUCCUCUGCCUGCGUUGAACCAGCUCUUUCAGCUCCUCUGCCUGCGUUGAACCAGCUCUUUCAGCUCCUCUGCCUGCAUUGAACCAGCUCUUUCAGCUCCCUCUGCCUGCCUUGAACCAGCUCUUUCAGGUCCCCUGCCUGUGUUGAACCAGCUCUUUCAGGUCCUCUGCCUGCGUUGAACCAGCUCUUUCAGGUCCUCUGCCUGCGUUGAACCAGCUCUUUCAGGUCCUCUGCCUGUGUUGAACCAGCUCUUUCAGGUCCUCUGCCUGCGUUGAACCAGCUCUUUCAGGUCCUCUGCCUGCGUUGAACCAGCUCUUUCAGCUCCUCUGCCUGCGUUGAACCAGCAGUCUGAGUACUGAAGUUUUCUCACAAACAAAGAAAGGAAUAUCCUGUGCAUCUGGCAGAAUGGAGGGGAGGUUCCUGCUUCCCUGGAUUGUCUACAGUUCUGACAAACAUGGCCUGUGUCCCAAACGGUACCUUAUUCCCUUUAUAGUCUGCUACUGUAGAGCAGGGCCCUAGUGCACUAUAU